This 261-nucleotide ribosomal RNA is filed under the name uncultured archaeon. RNAcentral describes it as "partial 16S ribosomal RNA". It matches the Rfam family "Archaeal small subunit ribosomal RNA", at positions 748 to 1008 of the family's 1478-position model. The record is from RNAcentral.
CAGCCGUAAACGAUGCGCGUUAGGUGUAUCGACGACCACGAGUCGUCGAGGUGCCGAAGGGAAACCGUGAAACGUGCCGCCUGGGAAGUACGGUCGCAAGGCUGAAACUUAAAGGAAUUGGCGGGGGAGCACCACAACAGGUGGAGCCUGCGGUUUAAUUGGACUCAACGCCGGAAAUCUCACCGGAUAAGACAGCAGAAUGAUUGCCGGGCUGAAGGCUCUGCAUGACUAGCUGAGAGGAGGUGCAUGGCGUCAGUGACU